UGAAAUAGCUCAGGUGGUAGAGCAACUGAUUCGUAAUCAGUAGGUCGAGGGUUCGAGUCCCUUUUUCA
RNAcentral lists this transfer RNA (68 nucleotides) under uncultured Butyrivibrio sp. It matches the Rfam family "tRNA". From Rfam's summary of the family: Transfer RNA (tRNA) molecules are approximately 80 nucleotides in length. Their secondary structure includes four short double-helical elements and three loops (D, anti-codon, and T loops). Further hydrogen bonds mediate the characteristic L-shaped molecular structure. tRNAs have two regions of fundamental functional importance: the anti-codon, which is responsible for specific mRNA codon recognition, and the 3' end, to which the tRNAs corresponding amino acid is attached (by aminoacyl-tRNA synthetases). tRNAs cope with the degeneracy of the genetic code in two manners: having more than one tRNA (with a specific anti-codon) for a particular amino acid; and 'wobble' base-pairing, i.e. permitting non-standard base-pairing at the 3rd anti-codon position. The record is from RNAcentral. Lineage: Bacteria; Bacillati; Bacillota; Clostridia; Lachnospirales; Lachnospiraceae.